RNAcentral lists this ribosomal RNA (499 nucleotides) under uncultured bacterium. RNAcentral's name for it is "partial 16S ribosomal RNA". It matches the Rfam family "Bacterial small subunit ribosomal RNA", at positions 28 to 507 of the family's 1533-position model. The record is from RNAcentral.
GACGAACGCUGGCGGCGUGCCUAAUACAUGCAAGUCGAGCGAAGUUUUUCUGGUGCUUGCACUAGAAAAACUUAGCGGCGAACGGGUGAGUAACACGUAAAGAACCUGCCUCAUAGACUGGGACAACUAUUGGAAACGAUAGCUAAUACCGGAUAACAGUAUUUCUCGCAUGAGAGAUAUGUAAAAGGUGGGUAUGCGAACACGAGGAGAUGGCUUUGCGGUGCAUUAGCUAGUUGGCGGGGGAAAGGCCCACCAAGGCGACGAUGCAGAGCCGACCUGAGAGGUUGAUCGGCCACCCUGGGACUGCGCCCCGGCCCAGACUCCUACGGGAGGCAGCAUUCGGGCAUCUUCCGCACUGGGCGCCCGCCUGACGGCGCAACGCCGCGUGAGUGAAGAAGGCUUUCGGUUCGUACAGCUCUGUUGUUAGGGAAGAAUGGAUAUGUAGUAACUAUACAUGUCAGCGACGGUACCUAACCAGAAAGCCACGGCUAACUACGUG